CCCUUCCCCCCUCAGAAAAAAGAGGAUCUACUCAUUAGCUAGCAAUCAAGGGUUGCGAACAGAUGCUGACUAUUAAAUACUUUGCAUCUUCUUCUAUUAUAAAAUUUUCAUUUAUGGGUUUGUUGCUUGCAUUGGUAGAAAGGAAUUGAUAAAAUCUACAUUAGAUAAAAAAUAAAAAUUUGCUUUUCUCAUGGACUUUCUUAUGAAGUCUUUGUAGAAUAAUCUUCAAAUUAUGUAUAGUAGCCUUAUGAAGUCAAGGAUUAAGGUGUCACAUAUGAUGCC
Molecule: long non-coding RNA, 282 nt
Filed under: Elaeis guineensis (African oil palm)
Lineage: Eukaryota; Viridiplantae; Streptophyta; Magnoliopsida; Arecales; Arecaceae
Description: long non-coding RNA (EGUI_LNC028212)
Source: RNAcentral